UGGGCGGUUUGCUGCUCGCGACGUCGAAAGAAGUCCACUGAACCUUAUCAUUUAGAGGAAGGAGAAGUCGUAACAAGGUUUCCGUAGGUGAACCUGCGGAAGGAUCAUUG
Molecule: ribosomal RNA, 110 nt
Filed under: Helosciadium inundatum
Lineage: Eukaryota; Viridiplantae; Streptophyta; Magnoliopsida; Apiales; Apiaceae
Also listed under: 1 other name
Description: partial 18S ribosomal RNA
Rfam family: Eukaryotic small subunit ribosomal RNA
Source: RNAcentral